This 1371-nucleotide ribosomal RNA is filed under the name Monodiamesa sp. 2 CZ-2021a. RNAcentral's name for it is "16S ribosomal RNA". The stretch from base 1092 to 1250 matches the Rfam family "Archaeal large subunit ribosomal RNA", at positions 2544 to 2703 of the family's 2987-position model. The record is from RNAcentral. Lineage: Eukaryota; Metazoa; Arthropoda; Insecta; Diptera; Chironomidae.
UAAUUAAAAUUUAUUUAUUAAUAUUUUUUGUUUUUGAUUUAAAAUUUUAAAAAUAAUUUUAUUUAUUUUUAGUUUAAGUAUUUUAUAAAGAAAAAAUAAUAUUUAUAAUAGUUUAUUAGUAUUGUAAAAGAAAAUUGAAAUAAUUUGAAAAAUUUUUAUUUUAAAAGAAAAAUUUAUUUUUUGUACCUUGUGUAUCAGGGUUAAUUAAUUAAAAUAUAAUGAUUUAUAUUUCUCGAUUUUAAGAGAUUUAAUAAUUUAUGUUUGUUACUGUUGAAUAAGUAUAAAAAAUUAAUUAUUAGAAAUGAAACGUUAUUCGUUCUUAAAUAUAUCUAGUUUCUUAAGAAAUAAAUUUAAUUUAGAUAUUUUUAAUUAUUUAUUUAUAUAAUUUAUAAUUUAAAUAAUUUUUAAAUAUUAAUAUUUUAAGGGAUGAGCUUUAAAAUAAAUUUUUAUAAUUUUAAAAAUAUUUUUAUAAAAAAGUAAGCUUAUAAAUAGCUAUCUUUAAUAAUUAUGUUAUAAUUUAUUUUAUAUUUAAAAUAUUUUUUUUAAUUUAAUUUUUUAUUAAGAUAUUUAUUUUAAUAAAAAAAAUAAAAUAAUAAUGAUUAAAUUAGUAAAUUGUUUAUUGUUUAAUAAAAAUAAAUAAUGUUAGGUUUAUUUUAAUUAAUUCGACAAUUUUUUAUACUCACCUGUUUAUCAAAAACAUGUCUUUUUAGGUAAUUUUUAAAAAGUCUAACCUGCCCACUGAAAUUUUAAAUUGAAGGGCCGCGGUAUUUUGACCGUGCAAAGGUAGCAUAAUCAUUAGUCUUUUAAUUGAAGGCUUGUAUGAAUGGUUGAAUGAGGUAUAUGUUGUAUCAAUAAAAUUUUUAUUUGAACUUUAUAUUUUAGUUAAAAUGCUAAAAUAAUAUUAAAAGACGAGAAGACCCUAUAAAUCUUUACAAUUGAUUUAAUUUUAUUUAUAAAGAAUAAUUAAAAUUUAAUUAUAUUAAUUGUUUUAUUGGGGUGAUAUUAAGAUUUAUUUAACUCUUAAAAAAUUUUUUCAUUUAUAUAUGAUUUAUUGAUCCAUUUUAAUGAUUAAAAAUUUAAGUUACUUUAGGGAUAACAGCGUAAUUUUUUUAGAGAGUUCUUAUCGAUAAAAAAGAUUGCGACCUCGAUGUUGGACUAAGAAUUAUUUUAGGUGUAGAAGUUUAAAAUUUGGGUCUGUUCGACCUUUGAAUUCUUACAUGAUCUGAGUUCAGACCGGCGUGAGCCAGGUUGGUUUCUAUCUUUAAUAAAUUAGAAUAUUUUAGUACGAAAGGACCAAAUAUUUGAAUUUUAAAUUUUAAAUUAAUGAAUAAAAUUAAUUUUACAAUAAAAAUUAUAAAAAAAAAUUAUAGA